UACGUAGGGGGCAAGCGUUGUCCGGAAUCAUUGGGCGUAAAGAGCGUGUAGGCGGCUCGAUAAGUCCGCUGUGAAAGUCCAGGGCUCAACCCUGGAAGGCCGGUGGAAACUGUCGGGCUAGAGUCCGGAGAGGCGAGUGGAAUUCCCGGUGUAGCGGUGAAAUGCGCAGAUAUCGGGAGGAACACCAAUGGCGAAGGCAGCUCGCUGGGACGGUACUGACGCUGAGACGCGAAAGCGUGGGGAGCAAACAGG
RNAcentral lists this ribosomal RNA (252 nucleotides) under uncultured bacterium. Its description in RNAcentral is "partial 16S ribosomal RNA". It matches the Rfam family "Bacterial small subunit ribosomal RNA", at positions 524 to 776 of the family's 1533-position model. The record is from RNAcentral.